CCUACGGGAGGCAGCAGUGGGGGAUAUUGCACAAUGGGGGGAACCCUGAUGCAGCGACGCCGCGUGGGUGAAGAAGCGCCUCGGCGCGUAAAGCCCUGUCAGCAGGGAAGAAAAUGACGGUACCUGAAGAAGAAGCCCCGGCUAAUGACGUGCCAGCAGCCGCGGUAAUACGUAGGGGGCAAGCGUUAUCCGGCUUUUCUGGGUGUAAAGGGGGCGCAGACGGCGAUGCAAGCCAGGAGUGAAAGCCCGGGGCCCAACCCCGGGACUGCUCUUGGAACUGCGUGGCUGGAGUGCUGGAGGGGCAGGUGGAAUUCCGGGUGUAGCGGUGAAAUGCGUAGAUAUCAGGAGGAACACCAGUGGCGAAGGCGGCCUGCUGGACUGCAACUGACGUUGAGGCCCGAAAGCGUGGGGAGCAAACAGGAUUAGAUACCCGGGUAGUC
Molecule: ribosomal RNA, 440 nt
Filed under: uncultured bacterium
Lineage: Bacteria
Description: partial 16S ribosomal RNA
Rfam family: Bacterial small subunit ribosomal RNA
Source: RNAcentral